This 532-nucleotide ribosomal RNA is filed under the name uncultured bacterium. RNAcentral describes it as "bacterial SSU rRNA". It matches the Rfam family "Bacterial small subunit ribosomal RNA", at positions 8 to 526 of the family's 1533-position model. The record is from RNAcentral.
AGAGUUUGAUCCUGGCUCAGGACGAACGCUGACGGUGUGCUUUAGGCAUGCAAGUCGAACGAGAAAGCCCUUCGGGGUGAGUAGAGUGGCGAACGGGUGAGUAACACGUGGGCAACCUGCCCCUCGCAGGGGGAUAACCGGAGGAAACUCCGGCUAAUACCCCGUAAGCUUUCAGGGUCGCAUGGCUCUGUAAGGAAAGGUAGCUUCGGCCAUCCGGCGAGGGAUGGGCCCGCGGUACAUUAGCUAGUUGGUGAGGUAACGGCUCACCAAGGCGACGAUGUAUAGCUGGUCUGAGAGGAUGAUCAGCCACACUGGGACUGAGACACGGCCCAGACUCCUACGGGAGGCAGCAGUGGGGAAUCUUGCGCAAUGCGCGAAAGCGUGACGCAGCAACGCCGCGUGGAGGAAGACGGUCUUCGGAUUGUAAACUCCUUUCAGUUGGGACGAAGCUCAACGGGUUAAUAGCCCGGUGGAGUGACGGUACCUUCAGAAGAAGCCCCGGCUAACUACGUGCCAGCAGCGGCGGUAAUAC